Molecule: ribosomal RNA, 253 nt
Filed under: uncultured bacterium
Lineage: Bacteria
Description: partial 16S ribosomal RNA
Rfam family: Bacterial small subunit ribosomal RNA
Source: RNAcentral
GACGUAGGGCGCGAGCGUUGUCCGGAUUUAUUGGGCGUAAAGAGCUCGUAGGCGGCUCGUUGCGUCGGCUGUGAAAACCCGCAGCUCAACUGUGGGCUUGCAGCUGAUACGGGCGGGCUGGAGUUCGGUAGGGGAGACUGGAAUUCCUGGUGUAGCGGUGAAAUGCGCAGAUAUCAGGAAGAACACCCGUGGCGAAGGCGGCUCUCUGGGACGGUACUGACGCUGAGACGCGAAAGCGUGGGGAGCGAACAGG